UACGUAGGUGACUAGCGUUGUCCGGAUUUACUGGGCGUAAAGAGCGCGCAGGCGGUCGUUCAAGUCGAGUGUGAAAGCCCCCGGCUCAACUGGGGAGGGUCAUUCGAUACUGAUCGACUCGAAGGCAGGAGAGGGAAGUGGAAUUCCCGGUGUAGUGGUGAAAUGCGUAGAUAUCGUAAGGAAGACCAGUGGCGAAGGCGGGUCUCUGGACAGUUCCUGACACUGAGACACGAAGGCCAGGGGAGCAAACGGG
Molecule: ribosomal RNA, 253 nt
Filed under: uncultured bacterium
Lineage: Bacteria
Description: partial 16S ribosomal RNA
Rfam family: Bacterial small subunit ribosomal RNA
Source: RNAcentral